Molecule: RNA transcript, 2654 nt
Organism: Bactrocera neohumeralis
Lineage: Eukaryota; Metazoa; Arthropoda; Insecta; Diptera; Tephritidae
Exons: 3
Source: RefSeq, a predicted model, not a curated record
UGUGGCAUGUGCUAUCGCUUAAAUAUCAAAUUACUCGUGCAAUCUCUUACAAAAGUCAAGUUUUCUGUCCAUUGCAAAGUAAAUGUUAUUUUUUCCAAAAAUGUGUUCUUCUGAUAGUGAUAUACCAGCUACGCCAAAAAAAAAGUUAAUGCAAAAAUACAAACCCGAGUGGGAAAAACAGUACGAAUGGGGGAAUGUUCGAGUCUCAAUCACUGCGUCAAUAUUGCAAAGCAUCAUAUUCGACGCAAAAAUGUAGCAACUUUUGCAAAUGUCAAACGUUCGAGCAACUCAAAUUUUGACAUUUCUUGCCCGCAAAAGUGACAAAAUCGGCAUCAACAAAAUUUAUGAUGGAAAAAUGAGGCAAGGGAAAUCGCGGGGAAACUUUAGUAUACCAUCCCACGAUUUCAGGAUUAAAAGUGGUACGGUUAGAUAGUGCUGAUGCUCCAGAUUAAGAAUAUAUAUAAUUAUUGCCGCCGCAAACUUAAAGUUUUCGAGAUAUUUGCAUUUAAAGUUGAAAAUUUUGCAAUAAGUAUUGCCAUAUCACAAAUGAUAGAAAACAAUAAAAAUAAAUAAAAAAAAUUCAAAUGCAUGAAAAAAAUUAUCCUGGGCGACCAACACCUGGGUGUGUCAGGUUUUUACGAUUGAAAUUCCUUUUUGCGUUGGCGGCCUUCGGCCGCGGUUCAAAAAAAUAACCCUGGCCGAUCCAACACCGGGGUGUGGCAACACCUGGGUGUGUCAGGUUUUUUCGAGUAAAACUUUUGCGUUGCGUUUGCACAAAAAUAACCCUGGCCGAUCCAACACCGGGGUGUGCCAACAACAGGGUGUGUCAGAUUUCUCUUCGAGUAAAACUCCUUUUUGCGUUGGCGGCCUUCGGCCGCGCUUCAAAAAAAUAACCCUGGCCGAUCCAACACCGGGGUGUGCCAACACCUGGGUGUGUCAGGUUUUUUUCGAGUAAAACAUCCUUUUGCGUUGGCGGCCUUCGGCCGCGCUUCACAAAAAUAACCCUGGCCGAUCCAACACCGGGGUGUGCCAACAACAGGGUGUGUCAGGUUUUUUUUCGAGUAAAACUCCUAUUUUGAUUAUUACUCAUGAUAUAGCAAGAAAAAGGAUAAUGAUUUAUGUGUUUGGCGUAUAAACCUAUUUAUUAUUCGUUUGAUAAAUGUGUAGAUAUGGCAAUACUUAUUAUUUGACAACACGGAACACUUAUUGUUAUUGUGCGUGUAAUAAUAUUUAUGUAAAAUAUAAAAUGCUUAUUUUAAGCAAACAUCUAAAAUAUUAAUAAAAAAUAAAUAUGUAGAAAUAUUGUAGUGAAUUGUAAGUGUAUAAAAAGUGCAUAAUACGGAAGAAAAACUAACCAUAAGUCGAGAAAUUGCAAAAUUAAAUUUGCAAAAUUUUCAACUUUAAAUGCAAAUAUGUCGAAAACUAUAAAUUUGCGGCGGCAAUAAUUAUAUAUAUUCUUAAUCUGGAGCAUCAGCACUAUCCAACCAUACCACUUUUAACCCUGAAAUCGUGGGAUGGUAUACUAAAGCCGACCCGAAAUCGUUCUUUAUUUUUGUUUUUAACUAAUUAUUAUCAUUAAUUGUGUUUCACGAGACAUCCGAAAAUGUGAUAAAUAUACAUAUAUCUGGAGGAUAACAUCGAAUUGUUUUAAAGAAGUUUUACGAUUUUACUAUUGCCCUCUUCUUUAAAAUUCCAGUCAUAAGCCACUUUUUUACGCAAAAAACUUUGUUUCCUUGCUUUUUUGUAUUUAAGAGCAAACUACACUCACUAUCCACCAAGUUAUCCACUGUUAAAUUGAUUAAAAAUUCAUGUUUAAGACUUCUUAAACUUCACUUCUUCAAUGCACCUGCACGCCGCGCAAAAUGUUUGUUUAAGUAUCAGCUGAGUAUCUGCAAAAAAACAUCAGGGUUGCAAUAUUGCCGCAGUUAUUUUCUUGCUCGAACAUCCCCCGGGUAACAAGUGAUUCCCAAAAUAAAACUAAUGCAAGGUGUACAAUCUGCGCAGUGAAUUUUACAAUCGGUUCAGGUGGCAUUGGCCAGAUUAAGCAACAUCAAGAAACUCAAAAACACAAGUUUAAAGCUGAAGCCAAAAAAACAUCUGGUGCAUUAAAGAAUUUCCUUACAUCAAGUACUGAGUCGAAUUCUUCAGUAUCAAGUGAAGCAUGGACUGCACUAAUAAACUAUGCAGAGUUGUCUAUGCAGAUUCCAAAAUAGCCAAUAAAAUACGCCUGGGCAGAAAAAAAUGGAAGCUAUAGUGACGGAUGUAUUAGGUCCCUAUUCCGUGGAAAGUGUAAUAAAUGAUUUGAAAGACAAAAAUAUAUUUUUCUGUAUUUAGACAGAUGCAUCAAACAAAAAGAACAUUAAACUCUUUCCUUUGGUGAUACAAUAUUUUUCCAUAACUAAAGGAAUCGAACAAAAACUGUUAGAUUUUUACGAAAAUUCUAACGAAUCCGCCGAUGGUAUGUUUGAAGCUAUUAAGAAGUCUAUGAACUCUUUAAAACUGUCACUCAACCAAGUAUCGGGACUAAGUGCUGACAAUUGUAAUGCAAAUUUUGGUAUUCACCACUCAUUGUACACAAAUAUUAAAAAAGAAGCCCCAAAUGUAAUAAAAGGAAACUGUAAUGCACAUAUCGUCCAUAAUACAGUGAAACAUGC